GGUCGGGUUGCGUGCGAGAGGAGGCGCAAACCCGGUCAGGCCCGGAAGGGAGCAGCCGUAGCGACACUUCACUGUGAUACGUUACGCCCGAUCGCU
This 96-nucleotide signal recognition particle RNA is filed under the name Bdellovibrionales bacterium. RNAcentral describes it as "signal recognition particle sRNA small type". It matches the Rfam family "Bacterial small signal recognition particle RNA". From Rfam's summary of the family: The signal recognition particle (SRP) is a universally conserved ribonucleoprotein involved in the co-translational targeting of proteins to membranes. Lineage: Bacteria; Pseudomonadati; Bdellovibrionota; Bdellovibrionia; Bdellovibrionales. The record is from RNAcentral.